RNAcentral lists this transfer RNA (69 nucleotides) under Brookesia minima (minute leaf chameleon). RNAcentral's name for it is "tRNA-Gln". Lineage: Eukaryota; Metazoa; Chordata; Lepidosauria; Squamata; Chamaeleonidae. The record is from RNAcentral.
AGUGGAAAAGGGGUUGAACCAACAUCGAAAAACUCAAAAUUUUACGCAUUUCUGUUAUGCUACCCACUA